AAUCAUCAAAACCCUUCUUCUUUGGAGAAGGAUUUUGGACUUGGAGGAUUUAUGCUCGCUUUCAGCAUUGAAAGUGGGCUCCUCUCAAAUGAAUUAGUGGGGUUUGCUUUGUCGAUCCUUGACGUGAUAAGAUGUUUUUACGUUUUUGAUUUGGCAUCGUGCCCGCUUCCAACCGUCCUCGUGGACGACGAUGGUGCUUUGGUCACCGCCAUGCGCGGGAGGCUGGACCCACAAUAAA
Molecule: unclassified non-coding RNA, 238 nt
Filed under: uncultured Russula
Lineage: Eukaryota; Fungi; Basidiomycota; Agaricomycetes; Russulales; Russulaceae
Description: sequence contains ITS2
Source: RNAcentral